This 73-nucleotide transfer RNA is filed under the name Canis lupus familiaris (dog). It matches the Rfam family "tRNA". Rfam says of the family: Transfer RNA (tRNA) molecules are approximately 80 nucleotides in length. RNAcentral also lists the same sequence under 1 other name. Lineage: Eukaryota; Metazoa; Chordata; Mammalia; Carnivora; Canidae. The record is from Rfam by way of RNAcentral.
ACUCGGUUGGCUCAGCUGGUGGAGCGUGUGACUUUUGAUCUUAGGGUUGUGGGUUUGAGCCCCACGCUGGGUG